CUUGGUUGAUCCUGCCAGUAGUCAUAUGCUUGUCUUAAAGAUUAAGCCAUGCAUGUGUAAGAUGACUAAUUCAGACUGUGAAAUUUUGAAUGGCUUAUUAAAUUAGUUAUAACUUGUUUGAUGGUAUCUGCUACUUGGAUAACCAUAGUAAUUCUAGAGCUAAUACAUGCAACAAACCCUAACUUCUGGAAAUGAUGCAUGUAUUAGAUAAAAGGUUGACAUAGGCUUUACCUGUUGCUCUGAUGAUUCAUGAUAACCCGAUGGAUAGCAAGGCCUUUGCACUGGUAACGCAUCAUUCAAAAUUUUACCCUAUCAACUUUCGAUGGUAGGAUAGUGGCCUACUAUGAUGGUGAUGAAUGAUGGAGAAUUAGGGUUCGAUUUUGGGGAGGAAGCUUGGGAAACAGCUACCACAUCCAAGGAAGGCAGCAGGUGCACAAAUUACCCAAUCCUAAUAUAGGGAGGUAGUGACAAUAAAUAACAAUACCAAGCUCUAUGAGUUUGGUAAUUAGAAUUAGUACAAUCUAAUUCCCUUAAUGAGGAUCCAUUAGAAGGCAAGUUUGGUGCCAGUAACUAUGGUAAUUCCAACUCCAAUAGUGUAUAUUUAAGUUGUUGUAGUUAAAAAGCUUGUAGUUGGAACUAAGGUCAGGUCGUUUGAUCUACCUCAUGUAGCAUGCCAGUCUACUCGUCCUUACUAUCGAUAAUGCACUCCUAGCCUUAACUAGUUGGGUCAUUCCUUUGACACUAUUACUUUGAAGAAAUUAGAGUGCUCAAAGUAGGCUUACGCUUGUAUACAUUAGCAUAAGAUAACAUCAUAGGAUUUUGGUCUCAUUGUGUUGGCCUCUAGGAUUAGUGUAAUGAUUAAUAGGGAUAGUCAGGGGCAUUUGUAUUUCAUAGUCAGAAGUGAAAUUCUUGGAUUUAUGAAAGAUGAACAACUAUGAAAGCAUUUGCUAAUAAUGUUUUCAUUAAUCAAGAAUGAAAGUUAGGGGCUCGAAUACGAUCAGAUACUAUCCUAGUCUCAACCAUAAAUGAUGCUGACUAGGGAUCGAUAGAUGUUACUUUUAGGAUUUUGCUAUCACUUUAUAAGAAAUCAAAGUCUUUAGUUUUCAAGGGUAGUAUGGUCAUAAGGCUAAAACUUAAAGGAAUUGAUGGAAAGGCUCCACCAGGAAUGGUGGUGCAUAAUCGUUCUUAUUUGGCGGAGUAGCUUAAUUUGACUCAACAUGGGGAAACUUACUAGGUCCAGACAUAGUAAGGAUUGAUAGACUGAGAGCUUUUUCUUGAUUCUAUGGGUGGUGGUGCAUGGCUAUUCUUAAUUGUUGGAACAAUUUGUCUAGUUAAUUCCAUUAACAAAUGAGACCUCAGCCUACUAACUAGCUACGCGGAGGUGAUAUUUCAUGGCUGGAUUUUUAGAGGGACUAUGGCUGCUUAUUCCAACUAAGUUUGAGCCAAUAGCAUGUCUGUGAUGCCAUUAGAUGUUCUUGGUCAUAUGCAUGCUGCACUGAUGUAUUCAAUGAGUCUAUAGCCUUGGCUGAUAGGCUCUUGUAAUCUUUGAAAUUUUAUGAUGAUGGGGAUAGAUCAUUGCAAUUAUUGGUCCUCAAUGAGGAAUUUCUAGUAAGCAUGAGACAUUAGCUUGUGUUGACUAUGUCCCUGCCUUUUGUACACAUCGCCAAUUACUCUUAUCAAUUGAAUGGUUCGGUGUAGUGUUUGAAUUACGGCAACAUGGAUGGUUCGUUGCCCGGGAUGUUGCAAGAAGUCCACUAAACCUUAUCAUUUAAAAGAAGGAGAAGUCGUAAUAAGUUUUUGUGGGUGAACCUAUAGAAG
RNAcentral lists this ribosomal RNA (1818 nucleotides) under Durio zibethinus. Its description in RNAcentral is "SSU rRNA". It matches the Rfam family "Eukaryotic small subunit ribosomal RNA". The record is from RNAcentral. Lineage: Eukaryota; Viridiplantae; Streptophyta; Magnoliopsida; Malvales; Malvaceae.